ACAACCAACGGCCACUACACCACGCACCCCAGCGCAUUUUCGCUACGCCGAUAUUUUCCAUCAACCCCAUCCCGUUCUUCCCCUCUCCCAAUCUCAAACCCACAGGCCCCUGGCCUCUCUCUCAAAUUUCGCAGGUAACAGAACAAUUAGGGUUCUGCCCCUGCGAAAAAAACUUCGUCCUAGAAUCGAAACCCGAACCUUUCAAACGAUCAGGUGUUCGUUUCGCUCUCCGUUUUCAAUUUUGGUCUGGUUUUUUUUUUUGGUGCCAAAAAAUGGGUGACAUGGAAGACGAUGCAAGGUACUCGGGAAAAUCCUAUGCUCUGAACCCCUAUAAUACUUCUCAUCGCCCAAGAAACUUGAUCCCCAGUUCCAAUUACACUCACCCAAUUAGAAAUAACUACGAAGUCGAGGACGACGACGAAUUCGACGUUGAAAAUGACCGGCAGGAAGACGAGGAAGAGGAAGAAGACGAAAACCCAAAUGGGUACUAUCGCAAUCUCGAAGCAGAUGGAAAUUUUAAUAGGCACCCGAAGAAGAGGAAGUUAAGGAAUUCCAUUUCGGGGUACGAGUCCAUGGCCAGAAGUGCGAAAGAUUCGUACUCGGCGUGGAUUCCAGAGGCAGAGUGGACGGAGCACGCGGUGUUCGUAUUGUUGGAGGUAUGGGGAGACAGGUUUCUUCAAUUGGGGAGGAAGAGCUUGAGGUCCGAGGAUUGGAACGACGUCGCCGAGAAGGUCUCCGAGGCGUCGAAGACGGAGAGGACCGAGGUGCAAUGCAGGGCUAUGAUGGACAAGCUGAAGAGGAAGUACAAGAAAGAGAAGGCCAAAGUUGACGAAAUGGGAUCGAAUUCUAGCAAAUGGGUCUACUUUAAGAAGAUGGAUAUGUUAAUGGCUUCGUCGCCCAGGCAAGACUUCGGGCUGGCUUGUGGGGUCGAUUCGGGUGAGUAUGUGUUUAUGAAUACUUGGGUUUAUUUGGACAGAUCGAAUGGGUUUGAUGAGAUGAGGGAUAGUCCUGGGGAGUCGGAGAAUGACGAGGAAGAUGGGAUUGAGUCGGAUGAGCCCCCACGGAGGACGAGAGCAAGAGGCCGUGGAGAAGGGUCAUUGUCGUACAGGGUGGUGGCGGAUUCGAUUCAGAAGUUUGGGGAUAUAUAUGAGAAAAUUGAGAGUGGUAAGAGGCAGCAUAUGAUGGAGUUGGAGAAGAUGAGGUUGGAGUUCCAGAGGGAGUUGGAGUUGCAGAAGAAGCAGAUUCUAGAGAGGGCCCAGACGGAGAUUGCGAAAAUGCAGGAAGAGGAUGAUGAUGAGGAUUCUGAUUCUUCUGAAGAGAAUCUCAUAAAUUAAGUACUACUUGGAUAUUUUUUUUUUUUAUAUCCUUGGGUGUCCGGGCCAGCUUACGCGCACCUCGACUAAUCCCACGGGGCCCUGAAGUUAGCGCACAGGUAAACCUCAGUGGCCCUGAGGGGACUCGAACUAGUGACACUACUUGGAUAUUCUGCUUGGAUGAAAGGUUAUGGGUGUCAGUUUAUUGGAGGACUGCAAAUUAGGACAGGCACAACGUCGUUGAGGUCUUCUUGUCAUUGCCUCUGAAAGCUUAUAGAGAAAACUUCAGUUGAAAUUUCUGAGUUGGAUGGCAUCUGAUCUACUUCAAGGGUUUUUGGUAAAGGAGGAUGUGUUAACAUCAUGAAGCCUUUGUACCCAGAAAAAGGUAGUGAACGGACCGGCAUUUUUUGGAAGUUUCAGCUUUUAUGCAAAGUCUUUGGAUAUUUUGAGGUUUUUAUAUGGAGUAUAUCCCACUUUUCUAAUUUAAUGCGCAGCAACUCGUGCUAAUUGUUUUUUGUUACUAAUGAUCUUAAUUUUUCACAACUUUUGCCCCAUCUGAGCCUGUCUGUGGUUGGAAAUUUAGUUUCUUGGCAAUUCA
This is an RNA transcript of Carya illinoinensis, 1911 nucleotides long. It is a transcript of the gene named trihelix transcription factor ASIL2-like, with no coding region annotated. The transcript has 3 exons. Lineage: Eukaryota; Viridiplantae; Streptophyta; Magnoliopsida; Fagales; Juglandaceae. The record is from RefSeq and is a predicted model, not a curated record.